CAGGGAGACAACACAAUGAUUUUGAUGCCUGAGUACUUUUAUUCUUAGGCCGAAAUCCUGUCACCUUAGGUCGAUCGGUACCUCAGCAUUAAGAGCAGUGAUUGAUGAGCAAUCAUCAAGAGACUGAAGGAGAUGUUCAGUUCCUAAACUUUGUCUAGGUCACACCCCAAAAGGGAUGAGACUCCUGGGCCAUUAGCUCAGGUGGUUAGAGCGCACCCCUGAUAAGGGUGAGGUCCCUGGUUCGAGUCCAGGAUGGCCCAUUCGGUGUUGGGGGUUUAGCUCAGUUGGUAGAGCGCCUGCUUUGCAAGCAGGAUGUCAGGAGUUCGAGUCUCCUAACCUCCACUGACCGAACUUGAUUCCCAUCUCCAAUUUUUUUGGAGUUGAGCUCGAUUGGAGUGUGAUUUAGAUGUGUCCGCUGGAUGACCCCAGCUUCCUGUCAUUCCAAGUUUUAGGUUAAAGCCUUGAAUUUGGUUGAUAAGAUGCUGGGCUCGGAUCAAAUGAUCAAGCAAUUGAUGAUUUGAUUUGAAGUUCUAGCAGAACCUUGACAACUGCAUAGGUGAGUCUGGAAAAAACAAAGCAUCUUACAGAUGCAUUGUUUUGAAUCUGAUCUUCUGAAAGGGAGAUUGGAUCUAGAACAAUGAAAAUUCUUUUGAGCAAGAGCCGAGACUCUUGAGCGUUCUUUGAUUGGUGUCGAGCCAAUCAGAGUUUGAUCUUGUUUUUAGUAAUAAAAACUUGAGAAUCUGCUUUCAACGGCGGUAAGCGUUCAAGAGGUUAAUU
Molecule: transfer RNA, 777 nt
Filed under: uncultured cyanobacterium
Lineage: Bacteria; Bacillati; Cyanobacteriota
Description: partial 16S-23S ribosomal RNA intergenic spacer
Rfam family: tRNA (bases 270-342)
Source: RNAcentral